RNAcentral lists this ribosomal RNA (2909 nucleotides) under Providencia rettgeri. Its description in RNAcentral is "23S ribosomal RNA". It matches the Rfam family "Bacterial large subunit ribosomal RNA". The record is from RNAcentral. Lineage: Bacteria; Pseudomonadati; Pseudomonadota; Gammaproteobacteria; Enterobacterales; Morganellaceae.
GGUUAAGCGACUAAGCGUACACGGUGGAUGCCUAGGCAAUCAGAGGCGAUGAAGGACGUGCUAAUCUGCGAUAAGCGUCGGUAAGGUGAUAUGAACCGUUACAACCGACGAUUUCCGAAUGGGGAAACCCAGUGCAAUUCGUUGCACUAUCGUUUGAUGAAUAUAUAGUCAAACGAAGCGAACCGGGGGAACUGAAACAUCUCAGUACCCCGAGGAAAAGAAAUCAACCGAGAUUCCCCUAGUAGCGGCGAGCGAACGGGGAGCAGCCCAGAGUCUUAAUCAGCAUUAGCAUCAGGAGAACGGUCUGGAAAGUCCGGCAGUAAAGGGUGAUAGCCCCGUAUCCGAAGGUGUUAGUGUUGUGAACUCGACGAGUAGGGCGGGACACGUGUUAUCCUGUCUGAAUAUGGGGGGACCAUCCUCCAAGGCUAAAUACUCCUGAUUGACCGAUAGUGAACCAGUACCGUGAGGGAAAGGCGAAAAGAACCCCGGCGAGGGGAGUGAAAUAGAACCUGAAACCGUGUACGUACAAGCAGUGGGAGCCUUGAUUUAUCAGGGUGACUGCGUACCUUUUGUAUAAUGGGUCAGCGACUUAUAUUCUGUAGCAAGGUUAACCGUAUAGGGGAGCCGUAGGGAAACCGAGUCUUAACUGGGCGAAUAAGUUGCAGGGUAUAGACCCGAAACCCGGUGAUCUAGCCAUGGGCAGGUUGAAGGUUGGGUAACACUAACUGGAGGACCGAACCGACUAAUGUUGAAAAAUUAGCGGAUGACUUGUGGCUGGGGGUGAAAGGCCAAUCAAACCGGGAGAUAGCUGGUUCUCCCCGAAAGCUAUUUAGGUAGCGCCUCGUGAACUCAUCUUCGGGGGUAGAGCACUGUUUCGACUAGGGGGUCAUCCCGACUUACCAACUCGAUGCAAACUACGAAUACCGAAGAAUGUUAUCACGGGAGACACACGGCGGGUGCUAACGUUCGUCGUGAAGAGGGAAACAACCCAGACCGCCAGCUAAGGUCCCAAAGUCAUAGUUAAGUGGGAAACGAAGUGGGAAGGCUCAGACAGCCAGGAUGUUGGCUUAGAAGCAGCCAUCAUUUAAAGAAAGCGUAAUAGCUCACUGGUCGAGUCGGCCUGCGCGGAAGAUGUAACGGGGCUAAACUAUGCACCGAAGCUGCGGCAGCGAUAUGUAAAUAUUGUUGGGUAGGGGAGCGUUCUGUAAGCCUGUGAAGGUGUGCUGUGAGGCAUGCUGGAGGUAUCAGAAGUGCGAAUGCUGACAUAAGUAACGAUAAUGCGGGUGAAAAACCCGCACGCCGGAAGACCAAGGGUUCCUGUCCAACGUUAAUCGGGGCAGGGUGAGUCGACCCCUAAGGCGAGGCAGAAAUGCGUAGUCGAUGGGAAACGGGUUAAUAUUCCCGUACUGGUGAUAAUUGCGAUGGGGGGACGGAGAAGGCUAGGCUAUCCGGGCGACGGUUGUCCCGGUUUAAGGAUGUAGGCAGGUGAAUUAGGCAAAUCCGGUUCACUACAUGCUGAGGUCCGAUGACGAGUCACUACGGUGAUGAAGUAGCUCAUGCCCCGCUUCCAGGAAAAGCCUCUAAGCUCUAGAUUAUCAUUAAUCGUACCCCAAACCGACACAGGUGGUCAGGUAGAGAAUACUCAGGCGCUUGAGAGAACUCGGGUGAAGGAACUAGGCAAAAUGGUGCCGUAACUUCGGGAGAAGGCACGCUGGCAUUAGGUGAAGUGGUUUACCCAUGGAGCUGAAGCCAGUCGCAGAUACCAGCUGGCUGCAACUGUUUAUUAAAAACACAGCACUGUGCAAACACGAAAGUGGACGUAUACGGUGUGACGCCUGCCCGGUGCUGGAAGGUUAAUUGAUGGGGUUAUCCGUAAGGAGAAGCUCUUGAUCGAAGCCCCAGUAAACGGCGGCCGUAACUAUAACGGUCCUAAGGUAGCGAAAUUCCUUGUCGGGUAAGUUCCGACCUGCACGAAUGGCGUAAUGAUGGCCAGGCUGUCUCCACCCGAGACUCAGUGAAAUUGAACUCGCUGUGAAGAUGCAGUGUACCCGCGGCAAGACGGAAAGACCCCGUGAACCUUUACUAUAGCUUGACACUGAACAUUGAGCCUUGAUGUGUAGGAUAGGUGGGAGGCUUUGAAGCGUGGACGCCAGUCUGCGUGGAGCCAACCUUGAAAUACCACCCUUUAAUGUUUGAUGUUCUAACGUUGCCCCAUUAUCUGGGGUGCGGACAGUGUCUGGUGGGUAGUUUGACUGGGGCGGUCUCCUCCCAAAGAGUAACGGAGGAGCACGAAGGUUGGCUAAGCAUGGUCGGACAUCAUGCGGUUAGUGCAAAGGCAUAAGCCAGCUUGACUGCGAGAGUGACGGCUCGAGCAGGUACGAAAGUAGGUCUUAGUGAUCCGGUGGUUCUGAAUGGAAGGGCCAUCGCUCAACGGAUAAAAGGUACUCCGGGGAUAACAGGCUGAUACCGCCCAAGAGUUCAUAUCGACGGCGGUGUUUGGCACCUCGAUGUCGGCUCAUCACAUCCUGGGGCUGAAGUAGGUCCCAAGGGUACGGCUGUUCGCCGUUUAAAGUGGUACGCGAGCUGGGUUUAGAACGUCGUGAGACAGUUCGGUCCCUAUCUGCCGUGGGCGUUGGAAGAUUGAAAGGGGCUGCUCCUAGUACGAGAGGACCGGAGUGGACGCACCACUGGUGUUCGGGUUGUCAUGCCAAUGGCAUUGCCCGGUAGCUAAGUGCGGAAGAGAUAACCGCUGAAAGCAUCUAAGCGGGAAACUUGCCUUGAGAUGAGUCUUCCCUGACCCUUUAAGGGUCCUAAAGGAACGUUUAAGACUAAGACGUUGAUAGGUUGGGUGUGUAAGCGUAGCGAUACGUUGAGCUAACCAAUACUAAUGAACCGUGAGGCUUAACCUG